RNAcentral lists this long non-coding RNA (2536 nucleotides) under Homo sapiens (human). RNAcentral's name for it is "non-protein coding ZEB1-AS1:27". Lineage: Eukaryota; Metazoa; Chordata; Mammalia; Primates; Hominidae. The record is from RNAcentral.
AACCUUGUUGCUAGGGACCGGGCGGUUUGCGGCAACCGUGGGCACUGCUGAAUUUGAAUUGAGGGGCGAGGGAAAAGUUUUCCUCAGGUGUGGUGGGGAGAGGGAGGCGGAUGCCGGGAAACCGUAGGGACGCGGUCAGAAAGGCGACGGGCUGUCGGAGUUGGAAAGGUAAAGUUGGAGGCUCGGCGGCGUCCUGCCUCCGCGCUGGCCACACCCGCCGCGGCUGCCCGGGGCAGGGAGGGAUCUGGCUGAUUCUCCCUGUACCCUGUGCCCUCGGAGCUGCCCCUCCGAGCGCCCAGAGGUCCCCGCCUGCCUGCUUCCUGGAGGCAGGGCUACCAUCAGUCCCACGCCUCGCGUGUCCGCCCCCCGCACCCCGGGGCCAAGGAAAGGGAUCGCGGUCUGGACUCCCCGGGGAGUUCCCUUGAUGAGGGGAAGGGCAGGUUUGGGGACGGCGAGGACACGCGGCGACCGGAGAGAGGCUACCUGACCCGCGCAGCCCGGACUCCCUUCCCUUCCCUUCCAGGGACGCCUGGUUUCCCCCCAAGCGAACCGGGAUGGGAAGUGACUUCAAUGAGAUUGAACUUCAGCUGGAUUGAAAGAGAGGCUAGAAGUUCCGCUUGCCAGCAGCCUCCUUAGUAGAGCGGAAUGAGUAAUACCCACACGGUGCUUGUCUCACUUCCCCAUCCGCACCCGGCCCUCACCUGCUGUCACCUCGGCCUCCCACACCCGGUCCGCGCUCCCCGCCCUCUUCCUCGCGUAGAACCGUGGGAUCCUAGGUGGCAGGACUCAGAGCUAAGGUAUCCACAGGCCAUGAAUUCCUUCCUAAAUGAGCGGUCAUCGCCGUGCAGGACCUUAAGGCAAGAAGCAUCGGCUGACAGAUGUGAUCUCUGAACCUGAUAGAUUGCUGAUUUUAUCUUAUUUUAUCCUUGACUUGGUACAAGUUUUGGGAUUUCUGAAAAGACCAUACAGAUAACCACAAAUAUCAAGAAAGUCGUCUUCAGUAUUAAGUAGAAUUUAGAUUUAGGUUUCCUUCCUGCUUCCCACCUCCUUCGAAUAAGGAAACGUCUUUGGGACCAACUUUAUGGAAUAAAUAAGCUGAGCUGUAUUUCAAGUAAUAUAGUUAUAAAUUAACAAUGUAGCAGUUAUUGAUAGAGAAAUUGAGAAAACUGAAACGUGACCGGAGUAUUGGAAAUAACGUAGUACAUCACCUAGCACAAUGACACAUAGUAGGUGCUCAAUAAAUUUAUGCUUAUAAUUUUUGUCACUUCUAUGGCAGGAUUUUUUUAUUAGGUUAAAAUUAUCUUUUAAACACCUUCCGGAAUUUUAGAAUAUUCAUUAAUAAUGUCUUCAAACCUUUCAACUGAAAUAAAUUUACAGCUGAAGUCUGAUGAUUUAAAGUUAGAAAGUUUAAUCUUGAAUAUAAAUGAACAUUUUCUCUCCCACAUUUUCUUGGGCAUUUUGAGAAGUAAAUGCGUUAUUUAUUGGUCCAUGAAAUGUGACUGUAAAUAUUCUUUGCUAUACAUUAUGUCUAUAUAUCUGCAUUCAUCCUCAAUGCCAAAACUAGAAUCAUUAGUCUUAAUGAUCAUUUUAAGUACAGGCAGUCCUCGCUUUCCUUGAUACCAUGUUAACCGAAACUUGUGUAUGUCAACACGGUGUCCUUGCUUUGCUUGGUUAAGUGUGAGUUCUUCCUCCCUUUUUUUAAGAGUUGUACAAUGUUUUUCAGUCGCCUACCGAAUCAGGUCAUAGACUAUGGAAUUGACCCCACCCCACCAACAUUUUUACAGCUACCCUGAUUUCUGACCAGAAAGGAAAAAAAAACUUUCCAGCUCUAUCACACAUUUUACCUACUCUUAAACUUAGGAGGUAUUACAAAUAGCAUUUUCUCAUGUUCUCUUUCUGGCCUGUACCUCCCUGCUAAGCUUCCUUCAGUGUUCAUCCUCACCUCAUAGAGAGAUGAAGUGAAGAGACAAACAGAAGUCAUUUUCUUCCUUACUUUAGUGGUUUCUGGUUUAGUUAGUUUGGGCCAAACUGUGGACAAGUACCUUUUCAGGUAACUUUUUUUUCUUAUUUCUAUGUCCUCAACACCUAGUGGAGUACGUAGCCAAUAGUAGAUGCUUAAUAAACAUUUCUUAAAUUAAUAUUGUUGACCUUUUCUGACCCUGUUCUUGACAGUAAGGUACAUAAUCUGCCUUCAUCCCUUUAGUCCUUAGGAACAGAUAAAGUCAUGGAUAUGAAAGUGAUCACUGUCAUUAAUAUCCACAUUAAAAUUGCUCUUGAUUUUAGUUUCUCCAUAAUCAUUUUCCCUAAACAAUGAACUCUGUUCACCUUUUUUUUUAAAAUAUGCACAGUGAAUAUUACUGGUAGCCCAAAUCUUCUAACAUAAAAUUUCCAUUUUGUAAAAGCUUCUGAUAAGCAUAUAUGUUAUGAAUUGAAUGUUUGAUUAUUAUACUUUAAUAUUCUUGAAAAUAUUGAUACCUGGACUGGAAAGAAAACAGACAAAAGUAAAUCUCAGAAUAAAUUACUGCUUUAAACAUGA